RNAcentral lists this long non-coding RNA (1338 nucleotides) under Elaeis guineensis (African oil palm). RNAcentral's name for it is "long non-coding RNA (EGUI_LNC065812)". The record is from RNAcentral. Lineage: Eukaryota; Viridiplantae; Streptophyta; Magnoliopsida; Arecales; Arecaceae.
UUUUAAUUUCUGAUUUAAUGCUAUGUAAUAAUCAUGUAAUAGGAUCUUAGAUCUAGGGAUUCUCUAGUUUUAGAAAAUAAAUUUUGAUUUAUUUUAGUCUUCCGCUGUAUGAUCUUGAAAAAGUUUCAAGAUCUAACCCUGAAAUCCUAGAUCUGGUUCCUACAAAAAUAAUUUCAGCCAUCAUAUUAGAUCUAAAUUAAAUUCUAAUUAGCGUAUUCAGAUCUGAAACUAAUUUCAGAUCUGAAAUACUCAUGAUUUAUUUCAGAUCUAAAAUAAUUUCAUAUCCAAAAUAAUUUUGUAAUCAUAAUACAGCAUGCAGAAAUUUUCAAAUCUAUCAUUAACUAAUGUUCUAUAUCAUUUUAAGACACUGAUUUGUCAAAACGAUGUCAACCAUUAAUCAAUCUUUAGAUCUGAUUUCUACAAAUCAGAUUUCAGAUCUAAAUGGUUUCAUAUUCAUAUCAGAACCCGUGGUUCUGAUACCACUAUUAGAAUUGUUGGUGGUUUCAUGCGUAUGGUUUAAAAGUUUUCAAAACAUAGUAUUUCAGAUUUAUGCAGUGGAAGUAAAAUAAAUUAAAAUACUUUUUAAUUAAAUACGCACCAGAUCUUAUUUGUAAAUCAUGCACCAGAUCUUGACACGAACAUGUUAUCAAAAUCUAAAAUCUGAAAUCAAAAACAAUAGUUAAUAAUCAGGAUGAACAGGAGAUCGAAUCUUUAUACUUGAUUGGAUCGUAUAGAUGUCUAGGAUUCGAGUCAUAGCCGCGCAAGCAUCCGGCCUUUACUAGUAUCUACAUGAAGAUAUUUGAUCGAAACCUCGAGGCCAUCGAUGUGCUAGUAUCUUGUAGACCUCACUCUUCAACUUUAGAUCUGGGUCUCUUCUUCUAGAUUUUAAAGAAGAAGAAUGCUGCGUGAAUCCUUUCGUGCAAAUCUGACUGGAUCUGAAUCAGAUGCUAAGAAGAGGAAGAAGAAUCCUUCUUCUUCCCUUCUUCUCCCUCUCUAAUCUCUCUCUAAAUCUCAGAUCAGAUCUAAGAAUUAAUUGGGCAUUGGAUAUUCAAGAAAGGAGGAAAGGAGGUGUUGGGAAGAAGAGGUUGUGGCAAGAGAUCUCACAUUCAGAUCUCACACAUGCCCAUCUUUUCUCCUUUUUAUUUGUCGCACAAAACCCCAACAUUCCACACCUUAAUCAGAUUAGAUCUAAUCCAAUCUGAUCAGAAUAUGGGGUGGUUAGAUAUAUUUAGUAGCAAGGAAGAAACCUUGCACACAAAAUAAAUACCAGAUGCCCACCUUCUCAAUAUUUUUGUCACACAAAAAUAUGAGGCGUGGCCCCUCUUUUUCUUUAUUUUC